GUGAGUCAUCGAAUCUUUGAACGCACCUUGCGCUCCUUGGUAUUCCGAGGAGCAUGCCUGUUUGAGUGUCAUUAAAUUCUCAACCUUACCAGUUUUGUUAUGAGACUGUGUAAGGCUUGGAUGUGGGGGUUUUUGCAGGCUACCUAGUGUGGUCUGCUCCCCUGAAAUGCAUUAGCGAGUUCACUAAGCUCCGUCUAUUGGUGUGAUAAUUAUCUACGCCGUGGAAGGAACUUAGACUUGCUUCUAACCGUCUGCAAAGACAACUUUUGACAAUUUGACCUCAAAUCAGGUAGGACUACCCGCUGAACUUAA
Molecule: ribosomal RNA, 312 nt
Filed under: uncultured fungus
Lineage: Eukaryota; Fungi
Description: eukaryotic LSU rRNA
Rfam family: 5.8S ribosomal RNA (bases 1-71)
Source: RNAcentral